Molecule: transfer RNA, 77 nt
Filed under: Candidatus Buchananbacteria bacterium CG10_big_fil_rev_8_21_14_0_10_33_19
Lineage: Bacteria; Candidatus Buchananiibacteriota
Also listed under: 2 other names
Description: tRNA-Thr
Rfam family: tRNA
About the family: Transfer RNA (tRNA) molecules are approximately 80 nucleotides in length. Their secondary structure includes four short double-helical elements and three loops (D, anti-codon, and T loops).
Source: RNAcentral
GCCACCCUAGCUCAGCUGGCUAGAGCAGCUGUCUUGUAAACAGCAGGUCUUCGGUUCGAAUCCGAAGGGUGGCUCCA